UAAGAUGAGAGUUUGAUCCUGGCUCAGGACGAACGCUGGCGGCGUGCCUAAUACAUGCAAGUCGAACGAGUCCUCCCAAUUUGAUUUUAUGCUUGCAUAAAUGAUUUUUGGAUUCGGGACGAGUGGCGAACUGGUGAGUAACA
This 143-nucleotide ribosomal RNA is filed under the name Apilactobacillus micheneri. Its description in RNAcentral is "Lactobacillus micheneri partial 16S ribosomal RNA". It matches the Rfam family "Bacterial small subunit ribosomal RNA", at positions 1 to 115 of the family's 1533-position model. The record is from RNAcentral. Lineage: Bacteria; Bacillati; Bacillota; Bacilli; Lactobacillales; Lactobacillaceae.